Molecule: unclassified non-coding RNA, 332 nt
Filed under: soil metagenome
Description: partial contains 5.8S ribosomal RNA, internal transcribed spacer 2, and large subunit ribosomal RNA
Rfam family: 5.8S ribosomal RNA (bases 1-120)
Source: RNAcentral
GAUGAAGAACGUAGCCAAAUGCGAUAAGUAGUGUGAAUUGCAGAAUUCAGUGAAUCAUCGAAUCUUUGAACGCACAUUGCGCCCUUUGGUAUUCCUUAGGGCAUGCCUGUUCGAGCGUCAUUUAAACCUUCAAGCUAAGCUUGGUGUUGGGUGACUGUCCGCCUCACGGCGGACUCGCCUCAAAAUUAUUGGCGGCCGGUACAUUGGCUUCGAGCGCAGCAGAAACGCGAACUCGGGCCCGUCGUAUUGGCUCCCAGAAGCUAUCUUCACAAUUUUGACCUCGGAUCAGGUAGGGAUACCCGCUGAACUUAAGCAUAUCAAUAAGCGGAGGA